Long non-coding RNA from Hippoglossus stenolepis (Pacific halibut), 541 nucleotides. RefSeq lists it as uncharacterized. The record is from RefSeq and is a predicted model, not a curated record. The transcript is spliced from 2 exons. Lineage: Eukaryota; Metazoa; Chordata; Actinopteri; Pleuronectiformes; Pleuronectidae.
CAUCUGUCAGCACCUGCUUCUGAGAGCAGGGGCGGCGUAGGCAGCACAGCCAGGGCACAACAAGGAUCACUGGCGAACCAGAUCACUGCUAUGCUUCCUGGGUUCCUAUCUGAAGACAGCCUUUGUCCGCCAACACCGGGCCUGUUUCGAGGAGCGAGGGGGGCUGUAAGGCAAGCUCUCAGUCAGCAGGAGUCGGAGGGGUGGGGUAACAAAUGAUGAAUCAUCCAGGAGGUGAAAUGACAGACAGAGCGCUGCGGAAGUGUGGCUGUGUUCAUUUGGUGCGUGAGGAUAUCUGUAUGUGGCUGGAAGAACAAGUGCUGAAAUCAACAGCACUCCCUUUCAAAUUACUGUGUGCAGUUGUCAGAAAAUGAAGAAUCAUUCUGCACUGAGCAAAGUCCAACAUGUUCACACUUGGGGGGGAGCACGGAAGACACACAGCAAAGGGCCGGGUCGGAAUCGAACCCCCGGCCACUGCAGGAGGACUAAAACCUCUGUAUGCCUCUAAACCCUCUACUCAAUAAAAAGAUUUUGUUAUAAUGAA